This 247-nucleotide ribosomal RNA is filed under the name uncultured Bacilli bacterium. RNAcentral's name for it is "partial 16S ribosomal RNA". It matches the Rfam family "Bacterial small subunit ribosomal RNA", at positions 439 to 678 of the family's 1533-position model. The record is from RNAcentral. Lineage: Bacteria; Bacillati; Bacillota; Bacilli.
UAAGUCAAGAACGAGUGUGAGAGUGGAAAGUUCACACUGUGACGGUAGCUUACCAGAAAGGGACGGCUAACUACGUGCCAGCAGCCGCGGUAAUACGUAGGUCCCGAGCGUUGUCCGGAUUUAUUGGGCGUAAAGCGAGCGCAGGCGGUUUGAUAAGUCUGAAGUUAAAGGCUGUGGCUCAACCAUAGUUCGCUUUGGAAACUGUCAAACUUGAGUGCAGAAGGGGAGAGUGGAAUUCCUGGUGUAG